GACCCCCUAGGUGUGUAUAUCAAGAAAGUGUGCGUGCAGGGAGUUGGACCGAAAGUGAGCAGCUCGUUCGUAAGGAAGAGGAGCACUUCGAGAACCUAUUGUACCGAAAAGGAAACUUUCUACAAAAGUGUGCGCACCAUAGCCAGCUAGACGAGAGUCGAGUAAAAAGCUGUUGUUGGGAAUAAGACUUCUACAGUCAACGACAAGAAUCUUACACAGUAGAAAAACAAACCAGCUAUUUCAACGAGACGCAAGACGAAUUCGAAUAACGGGCCUAUACUUAACUCCGACUGGCUUCUGUUGAUACAAUGCGUGUAAUAAGCCCGACCGCGUUCCGGAAUUGCAUAUAAAUAUCACAUGUAAGUAAGUACCGUACCUACUCUAUGCGAGAGUCGCAAGCGAGACCUUUGUGCUGGCUUAGCAACAAUCAUCCAUGCGAGCGACCAUUAUACACAAACACAUUCCAACCCUAUAUCCAACCACUACCAACAAGAAGUAUACGAUGUGUUUAAAAAUAAAGAAUAUUUCAUCUCUAGAGAAA
This is a long non-coding RNA of Dalotia coriaria, 541 nucleotides long. RefSeq lists it as uncharacterized. NCBI's taxonomy places the organism in Eukaryota, Metazoa, Arthropoda, Insecta, Coleoptera, Staphylinidae. The transcript is spliced from 3 exons. The record is from RefSeq and is a predicted model, not a curated record.